This 253-nucleotide ribosomal RNA is filed under the name uncultured bacterium. RNAcentral describes it as "partial 16S ribosomal RNA". It matches the Rfam family "Bacterial small subunit ribosomal RNA", at positions 524 to 776 of the family's 1533-position model. The record is from RNAcentral.
UACGGGGGGGGCAAGCGUUGUUCGGAAUUACUGGGCGUAAAGGGCUCGUAGGUGGCCAACUAAGUCAGACGUGAAAUCCCUCGGCUUAACCGGGGAGCUGCGUCUGAUACUGGAUGGCUUGAGAUUGGGAGAGGGAUGCGGGAUUCCAGGUGUAGCGGUGAAAUGCGUAGAUAUCUGGAGGAACACCGGUGGCGAAGGCGGCAUCCUGGACCAACACUGACACUGAGGAGCGAAAGCCAGGGGAGCAAACGGG